This is a long non-coding RNA of Lycium barbarum (goji berry), 7335 nucleotides long. RefSeq lists it as uncharacterized. The transcript is spliced from 3 exons. Lineage: Eukaryota; Viridiplantae; Streptophyta; Magnoliopsida; Solanales; Solanaceae. The record is from RefSeq and is a predicted model, not a curated record.
CUCUUAAUUCUCAUACAAUUACUACUGUGUAUGUGUAUGUCACUCUUCUCUUCUUCUUGCUGGUCUCUCUCUCUUUUUUUUUUUUUUUUCUCCAAAAAAUACUGUUAAAUCUAUAUAUAGCUGAUUUAUUCCUCUCUUUUUUCUAGCUUUCUGCAAUUUCUGGUUCAUGAUGUACAGUAAAGCUCUUGUUUGUUUUCAAGUAUAUAUCUUUUAUAUCUACUAAUUUUGUCUGAUCCAUAUCUGAUUAAUGGUCUUAGUUAUGUUCAUGCUCUUAGAAUUUUUAUGUGGUGACUCAUAAUUUUAUUUUAAUUUCUUAAUAUGUUCUUUUUUCUAAGUAUCUUGCUUUUUCUUACAAUAAUUAUCUUGUUAUCUUGGAUAUCUUAACUGGUAUUUCUUUUGUUCUUUUUCUCUAAGAAUUCAUUCUCUAGUUUCUUUUCUCUGUAAAUUGUGAUUCCCUUUUCUCCUUUAGUUUCUUUAAUUUUUUGAACACUAAGAUUUAAAAGUGUAGGGGAAAACUUAAUUAAUAGUGGCGAAGAUAGAAAUUUAGUUAAGGAUAUUCAAGAUUUAAUAUAUAUCUACUAAUAAUUUUUGACAUAUAUACGUAGUACAAUUUUUUAGUAAGAGGGUAUUCAACUGACCAUCAUUCAUUUUAUGUGGCUCCGCCAACCACCACAGAAGAGUAGAUUUAACUUAUAUACAUUAUAUUUGUAACACCUCGUACCUUUAACCUAAGUUUUGACCAUGAUCCUAGACUUAGAAAACCAGAUAAAGAAUGUGGCAAUUGGAAUUUCCUCUUCAGUUGUAAGAUGGUGGUUUACGCCCAUGAACAGUGACCGUAUUUCAGUAUACGACUCGUAUUUCAAGUCGUAAACUGGUACCAAAGAUUUCUGAGCAUUCUGGAAUUUGACAUUUGGAGGCUACAUUGUUAAAACGGACCGUAUUUCAAAAUACGGCCCGUAUUUCAAAAUAUAUUUGAAAUUUGGGAAAACUUCCUUAAUGAAAGUUGUAGAGAUUUGAAAUACCUUUCCAACGGUAUAUUAUGAGGGUCAAACGGACAUCUGCGCAAAGAGUUAUGGCCAUUUCACUGAAGAGACGCAGUGCAGUCCAUACGGAAUACGGACUAUAUUUCAAAAUACGGCCAGUAUUUAACUGGGCGUAAAAUUAAAUUUUCCAGAACAGAAUAUAUUCGUCCAUAUCAGUUCAAAUCAUUAUUUUUCAUUCCUUCAAGCCCUAGAACAACCUCCUACCCUCUCCCAUCAUCAAGAACACCAAGGGUUUUCAAGAACUCAAGAUUUUGGAAAUCUUCUUCAAAGUUAAAAUAUUUAAUUCAAGUUUGGAGCAUUACCAGGUACUAAUUUACAGGACGACGCAUCUGCUCAGUAGGAUAGCAUUCGUAUCAGCUUAUUGGUGAGCCCCAUCUCAUUCGGGGUUUACUCAACUCUUUAUUUAAUGAUUAGCUAUGCAUCUAAGGUAUGCUGGGGGCCUUGUCCCAACGAGUAUGUUUUCCAUGUUCAGACUUAUGUUAGAGGUUUCAUAAACUAGACAAGUCAGUUAUGUUAUGUCAGACUUUCGGAGUCGUAUAGCCAUUUUGGCUCAUUCAUGUUAUUUCAGCACUCAUGUUUAAACAAGUAUUAUGACUUAUUGCGUUUUAUAAAGGCUCAUCAUGCAUUCACGUUAUAUUUCACUCAUGUUAUGCCUCAUGAUAAUUUAACAAGUCAUGUGGUUCGCUCGGUCACGUGCAGUAAGGCACCGAGUGCCGUGUUUCGCCCAGUCCAUGGUUCGGGGCGUGACAAAGCUUGGUAUCAGAGCCCUAGGUUCAAGUGUCUUAGGGAGUCUAUGAAACCGUGUCCAGUGGGGUCACUUUUAUAUGUGUGUGGCGCCCACACAUAUAAACAGUUGACCACCAAGGCAUUUAAGAUUGUCUCACUUCUUUCAACUCUAGAUCGUGCAAUAGAGCUAUGUUCUCAGAAAUCACUAGGACUCGUGUGUUGUUUCCCAUUUUACCGAAUACACCACGUCUCAAUGGAUGAGAAAGAUAUAAAUCUAAUCAUUAUCGAUGUGUUUCUUUCGGAUGGAGUCAUCAGGAAUUAUUCUAAUUUGUGCCAUGAAGCUUAGAGAGCAGUAAGUAACAUUCUUUUUCCAUCGAAUUCUGAACGUAUCAAAUGUGUAAGCGGCAAGAAGGAAAUUCGAGACCCAAGACUUGCCAAAUAGUGCAUGGUGUGUUUAUCAGGUGUUAGUACCAUUUGAAAGACAAAUUUCGAUAUGGUAGCACACGUAGGUUAUAUACCCUAUAGGGUAAGUUUAUUUGGACUCUUUGACCAUGAAGCUAUAGUUUAAGGGUGAUGGCUCAUAUUUAAGACCCCACGAGGUAGCUUGUUACGAAGUUAACCGCAGCAGACAUAAAUUGUCCACGGUAGUUUUGAGCAGGGGAAUAGCCUAAGAGCCAACCACUUGUAAUACUAGAAAGUCUCGACUUUUUGAAGGAUAUAUAUAGUUUUUCCAUAUGAUCUAUGCACAUUACUAGGAAGGGACUGAUGCGAUAAGAAACCAUGAGCAGACAAUAUUGAAUUUUUUUUAGUAUUAGUUUCAAAUUAUUUCAGCUUAUUCAGAUUAGACCUAGAGAGUAUGACGUUAGUAAGUUCCUACAAGAAGCAGAUAUUACUAUGAGAUAAAAGAUAUGACAAUUCCCUCUAAGGUUAUGUGAUUAAGUAUUUAUCCCUGAUGUGUAUAGUAUGAUAUAAUUUUGAAAGUGUAUAGGGAGUUUGGGGUUAGUUUUUCCAAUUCCUUGUUUGAAACAGAUGAAAUUUCCCUAAGUGCGAUCCAUGUCUAUAGUUCAGAAAGAUAGUAUACAACCCCAUAAUAGAGUCAGAUAAGGAAGAAAAGUUAAAAAUAACCUUAUGCUUCACUUUAGUACUCAGAGAAGAAUUAGAGAAUAUGAUGCUUGCAAGUGGUUAACAGAAGCAUAGUGAGUGAGUUUGAAUAGAUACAGUGAAUUAGAAAUUUUCAGCAGAGUUAGUAGAAGUACGAUUUGAGUUACUUAGUCAAGUUAGCACUACUAAGUGGAUAACUAUAUGAAUACACCGAAGGCGUAUUAGAACCCAAAGGGUUUAAGUUAAAUUUGAGGUAUAGAAAUUGGUGAAAGAAGAAAACCAUCUAAGCAAUAAGAGAGCAAGCUACAGAAGAAGAGCCUUUAAGGGUUAUCAGAAAAGAGUUUUCCUCAAGACUGACAAAGCUAGUAUGCCUGUUAUGUACAUUAGAAACCCGUUCAUUUAAGAAAUCCAGUUUUCCCAGUAAGUAAGGCUUGCUUGAAGUAAGCCGAAGAAAUGAGUCAUCAUUAUGUUAGAGGAAAUUAGCAGAACCACUAGAUGACCACUUAUCGCUAACUCAAGGGAUCCACAGGCUUUAAACGUCAACUUUUGAACUAAGGGGGAGAUCGUGCGAUAAGGUGUCGAUAUAAACUAUGUGUUUUGUAAGUUGAUAGGUGUUAAGGAGAUUAUGUUAGAGGGUCAUAGUUUCAUGUAGCCAAGAUAAGGUGCGUAGAAUGUGAUUUUUGUCAUGCUGUUGAGAUCAGUACCAGGUAAUUAUGUUAUAAGAUAAAGUUCUAGAUCGAAUAGCGGGUUUUAAGGGUAUAACGGUUCCAAUUCCAAAGUAAUUCAUGUACUAUGUGGUACUAAUGCCCAGACGUACUCUACUCAUGCCUUUCAUACCCAUAUCAUGCCCAUGUUAGAGCUUUACACUCCAUAUUUAAGAUACAAGAAUUAAGACUUCAUACGAUGGUAAGCUAUGCAAGGGAAUGUCCUUUCAUGUUUCGCACAUCAGGUGUGCUCAUGUCAAAAAAAAAAAUCGCAUUCAGGUCUCACAUAUCUAUCAUGCUUUUAUACUCAUGUUCAUGUUCUAGCAUCUAAGUGCUUUUCAAAUCUGAUGAUGAUCUUGACUCCUAUGAUUAUGUUCUCUAUGUUACCACAUACUCGUGUCCCAAUCCAUUUCAUUAUGCAUCCCACUUAUAGCGGUAUCGUAACAAUGAUGUUGUUAGAUAAUAAUGAAGGUGAACCAAGAUGGAUGUCCUACCCAUGAUUCUAUGUAAUUCGUGCUUAUGUUUCUUUGGCUAAUGUUUCAAACCAUCUCAAAGGAUGCCCUUAUCUUUUCCGAAGUACCGAUGCCAUUUUUAUGUUCAAAGUGACUUUCUACCUAUGUCUUAGAUGCUCGAGGAACGAAUUAUUCAUGCCUAUAAUCUAUUUUUUCAUGAGCCUUAUUUAUAACAAGGGCAAUUACUCACGGUGAUAAGAGUAAGCUAUGUUGAAUCAUGUCCCGUCAUUUCAGUAUAUCUAAGUUCUAAGGGUAAUACUUUAUCCAUGCCUUACGUCUAUGAGUACCCAAGAGUGAGCCUACAAUUGUACUCCACGCAAAUCACACGUAUGUCUUAUUAAUAGCUCAAUACUCAUGAAAUUAGGUCCACACGCCACGAUAUGCAUCGAUGAUGUACUCAUGUAAAUGUCAGGUUGCUCAUGGUCCCAUGCCCCAUGUCAUGCUAUUCACGUUUCAUGACAUAUGAAUCGCGUUCCCAUGUACGCAUGUUUCAUGUUACGUCCUCCAUGUACAAUGCACCAUGUCAUGUCUGUUCUCUAAAGCAAAGUAUCUCAUGUGAAUAGUACUAAUAAUUUCUUUUCUCUCAAUCCUCUAUAAUUCGCUCACGAGAAUGAGCAAGAUGAGCUAAGGUAUUCAUAAUCAUGAUUAACAGCUAACAAGAUAAUCAGAAGUAAGGUGCAUUCCUAUAUUCAAAUAGAUAUCUUUUCAUGUACCCUGUGGUACUUAUCUCAGGAGUAUUCUACUCAGAUUCGACGUAUUCAUGUCAUGCCUAUGCUAGAGAUUUAUGAAUACCUAUGUUAGGAUCAUAUUCUUGUUAUACCACUCAAGUUUAUCGCAUUCACAUCGAGUUGCGUUUACAUUUAAAGCCUAAGUCAUACUCCUAUCUCAUAUUACCAUGCCGACAUACGAACGUCUAUGAUCAAGUCUCUAAGUAUCCAAAUCCUACCCGCGCUUAGUAUUCAAUCCUCAUGUUGUAACAAUUAUGUUUUCGACAUUCAGAUCCCAUGUUACGAUAUCCAUGUGUACACGUAUUUGUAUCUCAUGAUAGUUUAGCACUCAUGUAUCCUUGUCAUCCAGUCUUCAUGCAUUUAUGUCCCACGUCAUGUGUCUCACGCCCAGGUAAUCAUGUCAUGUUCGUGCCUAUUCCAGUACUCAUGUCAUUCGUGCAUACGGGUUUUCUUCCAAACCCCAUGUAUAGUAAUCAUGUAAUCAUUCAGCCAAUAUCCAUGUGUUCAAGCCAGCUCAGUAUUUAUGUUAGCUACAUUCAAGAUUCAGUAAUCACGUUAUGUCACAUCAUGCCUAUUAAGAUACCCUGUGAGUUCUGUGUUGGUACUUUAGUUAGCUGGCAGGCGUUUGAGAAAUGUCGUGAGGGUCCGAAUUAUGAAGGAAAUCCUACCAUAAAUUUUGUAGAUUCCAGAGUUAGUAGCGAUUCUUAACCACUAGUCAUAAAUCGAGAACAAAUAUUUCAUGAUUCUCAUUCAUGUAGGUGCUACUCAGUUUCAUGUUCCCCAUGUACAUGUUUCCAUGUAAUCACGUAUUCAGUUCUUAUGAUUCAUGACCAUGUUCCCACGUAACCAUGUCAGACUCUUAUGUUUUAUGUCAUGUUUCUUUCAUGUUCAUGUAUUCAAGCAAUGUCCAACCAUAUUCUUAACCAUGACCCAUCAUUCGAGGACGAAUGAUCCCAAGGGGGAGAUAUUGUAACACCUCGUACCUUUAACCUAAGCUUUGACCAUGAUCCUAGACUUAGAAGACCAGAUAAAGAAUGUGGCAAUUGGAAUUUCCUCUUCAGUUGUAAGAUGGUGGUUUACGCCCAUGAACAGUGACCGUAUUUCAGUAUACGGCCCGUAUUUCAAGUCGUAAACUGGUUCCAAAGAUUUCUGAGCAUUCUGGAAUUUGACAUUUGGAGGCUACAUUGUUAAAACGGACCGUAUUUCAAAAUACGGCCCGUAUUUCAAAAUAUAUUUGAAAUUUGGGAAAACUUCCUUGAUGAAAGUUGUAGAUAUUUGAAAUACCUUUCCAACGGUAUAUUAUGAGGGUCAAACGGACAUCUGCGCAAAGAGUUAUGGCCAUUUCACUGAAGAGACGCAGUGCAGUCCAUACGGAAUACGGACCGUAUUUCAAAAUACGGCCAGUAUUUAACUGGGCGUAAAAUUAAAUUUUCCAGAACAGAAUAUAUUCGUCCAUAUCAGUUCAAAUCAUUAUUUUUCAUUCCUUCAAGCCCUAGAACGACCUCCUACCCUCUCCCAUCAUCAAGAACACCAAGGUAAGCCUACUCUAAUUAUUUCAAGUCAAUUCUAAUACAUACCCUUGUAAUCUAAACAAGAAAUCAUCAUUCCUAAACUAGGGUUUUCAAGAAAACCCAUCUCGAGGUUCAAGAACUCAAGAUUUUGGAAAUUUUCUUCAAAGUUAAAGUAUUUAAUUCAAGUUUGGAGCAUUACCAGGUAUGUAGAGUUACUAUCUACGUGUGGGAACAUCAUUAUUCUUCCCCACGCCUCAUAAUCCAUAAAUUAUUAUUCUUUACGAAAACUAGGGUUUCUAUGCCAUGCUCAUGAUAACCCUAGGUCCAUGUCCAUGAUUAUAUUAUGUAUGAAUUGUUAUAAUUCCAUCAUUGAGUUCUUACUAUUUCUUUAUGAUUAUUAAGAAUCUGUCUGUAAUCUAUGAAAAAUCCAUAUAUCCCAUUCCAUGGGUUCAUGCAUGCUAGUUUAUGAUAUAUUAUGCUAUUUUCAAGAAAAUACUAUACAUGUUUUACAAGUUCAUGCAAGCAAGCUAUAAUUCAUGAUAUCCAUGUACAAGCAAGUUAUAUUCAUGAAAACCAUGGGCAGCAAGUGCCACUUAUUUUACAUGUUCAUGUUUUGGGAGUUGCUUUAAUUACCGAGGAAGGCUUCAAAUAGCCUGAAACUACGUAGCCACCGUAGGAUGAGGAUCGCUCCACCCAUGUCCCGGAUGAUCUCUCAUAAUGACUGGAUCCUUUCAUAAUAUUAUUAAACCUCAUGUCCCUGGCAAGGUAUGAGUGUUCUGCUGGUAGGACGCAAGUACCAGACCAUGUUAUCGGUUAUAUUUAUUGCUCUCCCCACUCACGAUACUUUACGCAUGAUAUAUAUGUAUAUAUACUCAUGUUCAUGAUCAUGUUUUCAAUUUCUGUUCUUAUCAUGUUAUUCCAUGUCCCAUGUUAUUUCUUCAGUUGCUUUACAUACCAGUACAUUCAAUGUGCUGACGUCCCCUUUUAUUGCCCGGGGGUCUGCAUUUCAC